AAAAAAUGUUUUUCCUCUUCCUGUAUAAUCCCGGGAAUAUGGCUCGGGAGUCUCUACCAGGCAGCCGUAAACUGUCUGACUACAGGAAGAGGGGUGUGGGAU
RNAcentral lists this non-coding RNA (102 nucleotides) under Marinitoga piezophila. Its description in RNAcentral is "Guanine sequence". It matches the Rfam family "Purine riboswitch aptamer". From Rfam's summary of the family: Riboswitches are metabolite binding domains within certain messenger RNAs that serve as precision sensors for their corresponding targets. Allosteric rearrangement of mRNA structure is mediated by ligand binding, and this results in modulation of gene expression. The record is from RNAcentral. Lineage: Bacteria; Thermotogati; Thermotogota; Thermotogae; Petrotogales; Petrotogaceae. RNAcentral also lists the same sequence under 1 other name.